GGACUACUCGGGUAUCUAAUCCUGUUUGCUCCCCACGCUUUCGCGCCUCAGCGUCAGUAAUGGUCCAGUUGGCCGCCUUCGCCACCGGUGUUCUUGCGAAUAUCUACGAAUUUCACCUCUACACUCGCAGUUCCACCAACCUCUACCAUACUCAAGCGUCCCAGUAUCGAAGGCCAUUCUGUGGUUGAGCCACAGGCUUUCACCCCCGACUUAAAACGCCGCCUACGCGCCCUUUACGCCCAGUGAUUCCGAGCAACGCUAGCCCCCUUCGUAUUACCGCGGCGGCUGGCAC
RNAcentral lists this ribosomal RNA (292 nucleotides) under uncultured Alphaproteobacteria bacterium. RNAcentral's name for it is "partial 16S ribosomal RNA". Lineage: Bacteria; Pseudomonadati; Pseudomonadota; Alphaproteobacteria. The record is from RNAcentral.